RNAcentral lists this ribosomal RNA (552 nucleotides) under Triticum aestivum (bread wheat). Its description in RNAcentral is "partial small subunit ribosomal RNA". Lineage: Eukaryota; Viridiplantae; Streptophyta; Magnoliopsida; Poales; Poaceae. The record is from RNAcentral.
AUGAGCGUGCGCCUCGAACCAGUUGAGCUAGCUAGCUUUGUUUACCACAGACCAUUGCAAAAUCUUAAGAAAACUAAAACGCCGAUCCGAACAUCUUUAAAAAAUUCGAACACAAAACGGUUUUCUCGAAAAGAAAACGUGAAUAUUUUAUCAAACGCGAACAUUAUUUUUUUCACAAAUUCUGAGAAAACUCAAACAUUUUUCAACACACAAAUGAAUUUUGGAGAUGCGAACAUAUUUUUUAGAAUGGAAAUAUUUUUUAAACUCCCAAAAAAAUUGAACAGGAACAAUUUUUCAAAUUUCCAAACAAAAUUUGGAAACACGAACAACUUUUUCACGCGAACAUUUUCUGAAACUGCAGAACAAAAUUUGAAAAAACGAACAUUUUUUAAAAUUGCAAACAAUUUCGGAAAUGGAACAUUUUUCGAAACUCCGAACAAAACUUGUAAAUAUGAACAUUUUUUGAAAUUUUCGAACAAAUUUUGGAGCAGGAACACUUUUUCAAACUCCCAAACAAAUUUAUGGAAUUUACGAACAUUUUUCAAUUUUUGA